Molecule: ribosomal RNA, 270 nt
Filed under: uncultured Glomeromycotina
Lineage: Eukaryota; Fungi; Glomeromycota
Description: partial 25S large subunit ribosomal RNA
Source: RNAcentral
UUGAAAGGGAAACGAUUGAAGUCAGUCGUACCGGCGGGAAAUCAGCUUCUCGAGUGGGGGUUCGNGGGUGCGUGGAGCUUCGGCCUUCGUCGCUUGUGAUACCUCUGCUUCUGGGGCGUACUUUUCCGUGUGGUAGGUCAACAUCGGUUUUGAUUGCCAUAAAAUGACCGGAGGAAUGUGGCUUCGAUCUUGUAUUGGAGUGUUAUAGCCUCUGGUAGAUGUGGUGGUNGGGAUCGAGGAUUGCAACGAAUNCCCUUUGGGCUAUCCGCC